This 492-nucleotide ribosomal RNA is filed under the name uncultured bacterium. Its description in RNAcentral is "partial 16S ribosomal RNA". It matches the Rfam family "Bacterial small subunit ribosomal RNA", at positions 29 to 507 of the family's 1533-position model. The record is from RNAcentral.
AAUGAACGCUGGCGGUAUGCCUAACACAUGCAAGUCGAACGGCAACACAGUAAGAUCUUUCUCUUACGGUUGGCGAGUGGCGGACGAGUGAGGCAUACAUCGGCAUCUACUUUUUCGUGGGGGAUAACGUAAAGAAACUUACGCUAAUACCGCAUAUGACCUACCGUUUAAAUCAGGAGUUCUUCGCACCUUUCGCGAUUGAAUUAGCCGAUGUCGGAUUAGCUAGUUUGCUUGGUAAAGGCCCACCAAGGCAACGAUGCGUAGCUGGUCUGAGAGGAUGAUCAGCCAAACUGGAACUGAGACACGGUCCAGACUCCUACGGGAGGCAGCAGUGGGGAAUAUUGGGCAAUGGGCGCAAGCCUGAUCCAGCCAUACCGCGUGGGUGAAGAAGGCCUUCGGGUUGUAAAGCCCUUUUGUUGGGAAAGAAAAGCAGCAGGUUAAUCCACCGAUGUUCUGACGGUACCCAAAGAAUAAGCAACGGCUAACUUCGUG